Molecule: RNA transcript, 3591 nt
Organism: Fundulus heteroclitus (mummichog)
Lineage: Eukaryota; Metazoa; Chordata; Actinopteri; Cyprinodontiformes; Fundulidae
Exons: 5
Source: RefSeq, a predicted model, not a curated record
AGAAUCCAGAUUUGCCGUUGUUUGUUGAUGGUUCGGCUUACAGGAAUCCCACCACUGGUGUGAAUCGUGUGGGAUUUGCUGUUUGCUCUUCGCAUGAGACCCUGUUUUCUGGUUCUCUUCCAAAACACUUUUCAGCGCAAGCGGCUGAACUGGUGGCGCUGACUGAGGCCUGCAAGUUGGCAAAAGGAAAGACAGUAAACAUCUUUACGGAUUCCCGGUACGGAUUUGGUGUGGUUCAUGACUUUGGUGCCCUAUGGAAACAUAGGAAGUUUUUGAAAUCAGAUGGAAAUCCAGUUCUGAACUCUAAGCAGGUUGCACACUUGUUGGAGGCCAUCUUGUUGCCCAAGGUCAUUUCUGUGUGCCGGUGUGCAGCUCACUCCUCGUCUUGUGAUGCUAUCUCGCAGGGAAACAGAAGGGCCGAUGCAGCUGGGAAAUGUGCGGCUGGGAAAGCUCCUCUGUUUACUGCCUUCUCCUCUUCUGAGGGCGAGGGGGAUGAUACUCCUCCAUGUUCUUCUUCACUCAUGGACUGGAAUGCGAUGCAGAGCUUUGCGUCUGCUGGUGAGAGGCGACUGUGGGCUUCUUCUGGAGCAAAGUGCAUAAAUAACAUUUGGUAUGGACCGAAUGAUUCACCAUGCUUGCCAAAACACUUUUUCCCACACUUUGCAAAGCUAACUCAUGGCUUAGAUGAUUCCUCAUACGCCAGUAUGACUGCUGCUUUAACAUCUCAGUGGUUCACUAAAGGCUUCAGCUCUUAUGCAAAAAGGUUUUGUCAAUCAUGCAUGAUCUGCUGUUCAUUCAAUGCAGGGCGUGCCCCUCAGAGGACUCUAGGUGCGCACCCUCCUCCUGGUAAGCCAUUUGACCACAUAAUGAUGGACUUCAUUGAACUGACUCCUUCUGAAGGUAAGAAGUUUGUCCUUGUCAUCGUGGAUAUGUUCAGUAAAUGGACUGAGGCUUUCGCUUCUAAAAAGGCUGACAGCCAUGCUGUCACAAAAGCCCUUUUGACUGAGAUUAUUCCUCGUUGGGGGAUUCCGGCUAGGAUUUCAAGUGACAAUGGAUCCCACUUAGUCAACGAGGCCGUGACUGAGGUGGGUAAGUUCCUGGGCUGUGACUUAAAGACACACUGCGCGUAUCAUCCUCAGAACUCCGGUGCGGUUAAACGUGACAAUGGAACUCUGAAGUUGAAGCUGGCAAAAUGCUUCACAGCACACAAUAAGCAGUUACAAAAUGCUUCACAGCACACAAUAAGCAGUUACAAAAUGCUUCACAGCACACAAUAAGCUUUGCCUCAAUUAUAUGAGGAUGAGGAAAAGGGCAAAGGUUAACCUCAGUCCAUUUAAAAUUCUCUUUGGUAGGCCUCCAAACUUGGACUUUGGACCUGCAAACCAUCACUUGCCUUCCACUUCUUUGUGUGAUGAUGACAUGUUAUCAUAUUGUGUUAAGCUCUCAAAGGUGCUUUCUGAAAUUUCUCAGACAGUAAAGGGAGGGUUGCCUGUGGCGGCCGACAGAGCCCUCCAUUCAUUCCAUCCAGGAGACUGGGUUCUGAUUCGGGACUUCCGCAGGAAGCAUUGGAGAUCCAAAAGCUGGCUGGGACCAUUCCAGGUGCUCCUCACGACUUACACGGCAGUGAAAGUUGAACAGCGGGUUCCUUGGAUCCACGCAUCACACUGCAGAAGGUGCCGUCACCGGGGACCGACCAAUCGCAGGACAAGAAGGAUCAAACGCUGGGAUCGUCAUCAUCAACCUGAGCCACCGAGCUGGCUGUGAGGAUAGCGGCCCACCACAAGUUUUGUUUCUAACAAAGAAGAGGUCGGUGAAGAACACUGUUCUGACGGAAUCACAAUAACAUUCCGGACAGUGAUUUGAGUUGAUUGUCUCCAGAGAGAGAUAAAACGGAGGUUUUGACAUAGCUGAUCUGUGGAGCACAGCAGUUUCAAGAAUCAGAUUUUGUUUGAUCAUUGUUUUUACUCCCUACAUAUCAGAGAACUGACUGAUUAAAAAAAAUGCCUUUUUUUUCUUCCUCAUCAUUCUGCACAGUGCAACAACAUGACCUACUUCAGGACUGCUGAAAAGCUGGCAAUAUGUUGCCUUAUGGUUGCAUUUUUCCUUUUAUUAAUUACAUGGUUUUGGGAUCAAAAUGAUUCCGAUGUUAUUAAGGAUGUUUCUACUGUUACUCUGUUAAAUUCAGCUGAUCCAACUAUCACUCAGGCUUUUAAGUCUCCUCAUUUGCAAAGAGGGGUAAAACGACAUGUUAUUGAUCAUCAUGGCGCAACUGACAAUCUUUGGUGGCAAUUUGCAGCUACUACUGCUCGAAAGGUUACAAACAGUAGUUGUUAUGUUUGCACCCACUUGCUGCAUGCAACUCAGGGGUCAUCUUUACUCCAACCAUGGAAAGUUAACAUCACCACUGUGUUAUCAUUUUUUUCCGCCUGUACAGCAGCGCCCUGUAACAGGUCCCAUAUCCUCGAGGCUUCUAAACCCCUGAAAUAUUUUCCCUGUGCAAUUAAUUUUUCUCAUCAUUCUGUGCGCUUUCCUUAUGGCUUCUCAAAUGCUACGAAUGUUAGUGUUGCAGGUUCUGUUAUGACCCAUUCAGUGUCAUCACAUAUGCGGUCAGCACCCCUGUGUUUUGUUCUUCCCUGCGCCGGAUCCAGCUUUAAUUUGGGGAACGCAGUUAACUGUGACAAUACUGUGCCAGCUUCUUGUGCACUUACGGAUAAUAGACCUUCAUGUGCAGACGACCCAUUGAAACUAUGGCUAAGAGUGUUUAAUUUGACCAAAUGGGGUUUAAGGGGUGGUGCUUUUUCUUCCCUCCAGGUGUAUACUCCAUCUCCUGAUGGUUAUCCAUGUCCUACUAAUAUGGUAUGGGUUUGUGGUCAUCGUUCCUACCUAUAUCUCCCACGUGAUUGGUGUGGUUCCUGUUAUUUGGCUUAUCUCAUUCCUUCUGUUAGGAUUGUGGCGUCCAUACCAGUGAGUGCCCAGAAUCGCAAGAAGAGGGGAACCAGGAUAUCAAUGGGACGCGAGAUAGCCUCGGGAAUAUUUCCCAGUAACACAGGGAUGUCAGUUAUCUGUCCAGAAUUCCCAUAACACUGCCCCAGGUCACCGAGGGGACCAACACAACAAGCACCUUACCACUGACGACUGACGACAUAACGUCAACUGUUUGAAAGAUUCAAGGACAACUUGCACCUCGGUUGGACGGGAAGGUGUGUCUCAUCAGAGCUGAUCACCACUCUUCUUAAUGAGUUGGAACCAGGAGGAGGGCGUCAGUUCGUUUACGCUUCUGCGUGAACCUCAUACCCACCAGUGAAAGACCUGGUAACCUCGCCUCGGACCCAUGCCUGAAGAAACGCUUAGAAACAAUCUUAUACCGAAGAAGAACCACGGAAAAUCCUGUUAGCCCUCCGACCUGCGCUCACCUGCCUGUCCACCCUCCAACAACCAACACUGAAAAGGAAACUGGAUUUGCACCAACAGCCCGGACUAUUGCACAGCACCUCUUCCCCGAACCAAGCCCAAGUCACAACCUCCAGAUCCCCGACCAGCAGACACUCUUUUCAAUAAAGCUUUUAUAUUUUAUCACUGUCUCCAGUUUUU